GACGAACGCUGGCGGCGUGCUUAACACAUGCAAGUGGAGCGACGAACCGGGCUUCGGCCCGGGGCAGAGCCGCGAACGGGUGAGUAACACGUGGGUAACGUGCCUCGAUGACUGGGACAACCCGGGAACCGGGCUAUACCAGAUGUGCUCCUUCCACAUCAGUGGAUUGAGGAAAGGUAGCUUCGGCCUCCGCAUCGAGAUCGGCCCGCGGCGCAUUAGCUUGUUGGGAGGUAAUGGCUCACCAAGGCUACGAUGCGUAGCUGGUCUGAGAGGACGAUCAGCCACACUGGGACUGAGACACGGCCCAGACUCCUACGGGAGGCAGCAGUGGGGAAUCUUGCGCAAUGCGCGAAAGCGUGACGCAGCAACGCCGCGUGGGGGAAGACGG
RNAcentral lists this ribosomal RNA (388 nucleotides) under uncultured bacterium. RNAcentral describes it as "bacterial SSU rRNA". It matches the Rfam family "Bacterial small subunit ribosomal RNA", at positions 28 to 414 of the family's 1533-position model. The record is from RNAcentral.